RNAcentral lists this long non-coding RNA (355 nucleotides) under Hordeum vulgare. RNAcentral describes it as "long non-coding RNA (HVUL_LNC004497)". Lineage: Eukaryota; Viridiplantae; Streptophyta; Magnoliopsida; Poales; Poaceae. The record is from RNAcentral.
UCGGAGAAAGUUUAUACUUGGACGAUUCUGGAUCGCAGCUAAGCUCCCGAGUGUUACGUUAAGUGCACACUCGGAGAUAGGUAGUACUUAGGCGAUUCUGGAUCGCAGCUAAGCCCCCGAGUGUGACGUGAAGUGCACACUCGUAGAAGGUUAAUACUUAGGCGAUUCUGGAUCGCAGCUAAGUUCCCGAGUGUGACGUGAAUUGCACACUCGGAGAAGGUUAGUACUUAGGCGAUUCUGGAUCGCAGCUAAGCCCCGAGUGUGACGUGAAGUGCACACUCGAAGAAGGUUAGUACUUAGGCGAUUCUGGAUCGCAGCUAAGCCCCGAGUGUGACGUGAAGUGCACACUCGAAGA